Molecule: long non-coding RNA, 1965 nt
Filed under: Solanum tuberosum (potato)
Lineage: Eukaryota; Viridiplantae; Streptophyta; Magnoliopsida; Solanales; Solanaceae
Description: long non-coding RNA (STUB_LNC008880)
Source: RNAcentral
AAAAGGGAAAGCGCCGCUCCACAGAACUGUUCAUCUACCUCUGCAGGCCAAUGCCAAGACACAAAUUAGUAGUUGUUUAUAAAAAAUCACAAGAAACUUCUUCAGAAAUAUUCCAACAUUAUUGUAUGCUCCAAAACUCAGAAUCAUACGAGCAAAGUUCUUGUUUUCAAUACAACGAGUGGAUAAAAGAUUAUAAUUCUUAUCCAUCUCGAGGUCAUCAAACGUUAUGUCAAAAAUCCCUUUUACAACAUAAUUUCUAUUUUGGUAGAUGAAUAUUUGGGGAAACACGAGGAACACCUAGCCACCUUCAAGAAACUAAUAGUAAUAUUUUCUGAUUAUGUAAGUAGCAAUUGGACAACUUCACACAAUUUGGCCAACUCCUGCCUGAAUCUGGCCUGCCUUGGUCAUGGUUUUCAAAUGUGAUUUGCUAGUAAAAAGUUGAUUUUCCUAGCAAGACUUUUGCCUGCACGCUAGUCUUGAUAUUUAUAUGAGUAUGAUUCCGAGCUCAAGACCUAUAAGAAAGUACAUUCAGUUUUGGAAUUAUUCAUCUACCUCGGCUAGCCAACCCUAUCGUCCUUCGUCCACAAACAACGCUGAGAUAAUAAAAAAUUAGAAUUUGUACCAUCACAAAUCACAAGAAAAUUAUUCAUCGUAUUUCAGAAAUAUUUCAACUUUAUUGUACGCUCCAAAUUAAGCUAACACCUCUAGUUAGAUAACAACAUGUAUUUAUCGUUACCUGUACAUGUGCAUUUUUUUUGACCUAUUACGGUUCAAUUUACUAAUAGAUAGUAGAUAUAGUUGGUAUUUUUUCCCUUACUGCAACUACAUUGCACUUACUAUUUCCACUUUCUACUAGAUUAGUAAAAGCUAAAAACAUAGUUCUUUUUGUUGUCAAACUUUAGCAUAUGCUUAGAGCUAAGAAUUAGUUAAGCCUCUAACAAUUUUAAAAACACUUUCAAUAAUUGAUAGCAUUUUUGAUUAAAAAAUACAUAAAAUAUUGAAAGUGUAAUUUUAAUUAUUGGAGGCUUAACCAAUUCUUAGUUCUAAGCAAAUGUCAAAGUUUGAACAAAUUCAUGUAUUUAGCUUUUACUAAUCUAGUAGAAAGGUGAAAUAGUAAGUGCAAAGUAGUUGCAGUAAGGGGAAAAAUACCAACUAUAUCUACUAUCUAUCAGGAAAUGGAGCCAUAAUAGGUCAAAAUAAAUGCACCCGUAACGAUAAAUACAUGUUGUUAUUAGACCAGAGACAUUGACUUAAUUUGGAGCGUACAAUAUAGUUAUAAUAUUUAUGAAACACAACAAAGAAUUUUCUUGUUAUUUGUGAUGGCACAACUGCUAAUCAGUGUCUCGUCUCAGCAUUGUCUAUGGACAGAGGACGAGAAGGUUGUCUAGCUGAGGUAGAGGAAGAGUUCCAAAAUUGAAUGUACUUUCUUAUAAAUCUUGAGCUCAGAAUCAUACUCAUAUAAAUAUACAAAUUGAUGUUCAGGUGAUGUCUUAUCAUGAAUUUUUUUUUUACCAUUAAACCACAUUGGAAAACCAUGACCAAUGAUGCAUGCACACCAAGCCAUGAGAAGGAGUUCAUGAGCUUUGUAUCAAGUCAAUAGUUUGGAGGCUUGGAAGGAAUUUGGAAUGAAGGCUUGAAGCUUUGAAACUUUGAAGAUUUUGCAAGUGGGUUUAUUGAUUGGAAUAAAUUGGGGCUUGAAAAGAAUAUGGGUUUGUCUUCCAUAGCAAGGGAAGCCUAAAUCUCAAUUUCAUGGAAUUUGGAGCUCAAACGAAGAAGUUAUGAAAAUUUGAAGCUCACCUUAUUGAUGAAGUCCUUCAUGAGUUGAAUAAAGAGGAAAAUGAGUUUCUAAUUUUGAGAUUGCUUGCAUGAAAUCAAGGCUUCAAAGUAAUGGAGGUUUGUUCCCCAUAGCAAGAAUAGCUUGGGAUUUCAAAUUUGAAAGGAAUCAGAGCCAAAAUGAAAGAGUUG